This 74-nucleotide transfer RNA is filed under the name Loxodonta africana (African savanna elephant). It matches the Rfam family "tRNA". Rfam says of the family: Transfer RNA (tRNA) molecules are approximately 80 nucleotides in length. The record is from Rfam by way of RNAcentral. Lineage: Eukaryota; Metazoa; Chordata; Mammalia; Proboscidea; Elephantidae.
CCCCACAUGGUGCAAAUGGUUAACAUGUUUGGCUGCUAACCAAAAAACUGGAGGUUCAAGCCCACCCAUAGGCA